CCAAUAGUUGAUAUUGUUUCGGUAUGGAUCCAAAUCUGGUACAAGAGACUCAACUGUUGAUGCACCAUUAACAAGACUGGUGGAACAAAUAAAGCCAAAGGAGCAUAGCACACCUAACAACGUUUUAAUGUGAAAUUGAAAUUGUCUACCAUGACUGGCUCUGUGCAUCCAAUAAUAACAAAAAUCAACCGCAAUCGCCGAAAAAUACCAGAAAGCUAUAGAAUUCCAAGAUCCAAUUUACCUGUGCGUAUAUAUGUGGGAUGGUGAUCACAUUCGAGAUGGUCUUUGGUACAAAAAUGUUACCAAUAGAAGAGAGAACGGUUACAAAUAUCGGAACUAUCUACAUAAGUCGUGAACAAAUUUCUGAAGAUGGACGUUGAGUAGCUGAAAUGU
Rhopalosiphum padi (bird cherry-oat aphid) is the source of this 393-nucleotide long non-coding RNA. RefSeq lists it as uncharacterized. The record is from RefSeq and is a predicted model, not a curated record. Lineage: Eukaryota; Metazoa; Arthropoda; Insecta; Hemiptera; Aphididae. The transcript has 4 exons.